RNAcentral lists this ribosomal RNA (253 nucleotides) under uncultured bacterium. Its description in RNAcentral is "partial 16S ribosomal RNA". It matches the Rfam family "Bacterial small subunit ribosomal RNA", at positions 524 to 776 of the family's 1533-position model. The record is from RNAcentral.
UACGGAGGAUGCAAGCGUUAUCCGGCAUGAUUGGGCGUAAAGGGUCCGCAGGUGGCAGUGUAAGUCUGCUGUCAAAGAAUGAGGCUUAACCUUAUCAAGGCAGUGGAAACUACACAGCUAGAGUACGGUCGGGGUAGAAGGAAUUCCUGGUGUAGCGGUGAAAUGCGUAGAGAUCAGGAAGAACACCGGUGGCGAAAGCGUUCUGCUAGACCUGUACUGACACUGAGGGACGAAAGCUAGGGGAGCGAAUGGG